Alosa sapidissima (American shad) is the source of this 2693-nucleotide RNA transcript. It is a transcript of the gene named beta-3 adrenergic receptor-like, with no coding region annotated. Lineage: Eukaryota; Metazoa; Chordata; Actinopteri; Clupeiformes; Clupeidae. The transcript is spliced from 5 exons. The record is from RefSeq and is a predicted model, not a curated record.
GAAGCGCACAGCACACCGCAUCCUCAUUAUCUUCUGAACAGAUGAACAUCGCACUCCAUCACUGAGCUGCAGGACGACUGCAUAGGAGAAGAAGAGAAGAUAGAGUCUCUCCCAACAUGGCAGCAUCACCGAAGCAGUUCACAAACACACAGUCCACACACACACACACACACACAGCUGCCACCAGUGAGGGCUCACACAGAUGGACAUCGGAGCUAUAGAUACUGCUGAGUUGGAGAAGAGAAUGAGCUGGUCAGCCUGAGCUGCGUCUUCUGCUUUGAGUCAGUGACCAUGGAGAACACCACCUACCACAACUCCUCCUACCAGACGUUCAUGUUGCCUUUACAGUCAACGUGGAGGAUGGAGAACUCCACCUGGCUGGCCUCCACCACCAUAGAUAUGUCUACGUCCACCAUCAGAGCUUCGUCUACGUCCAGCACCCAACUGGUCUUUCUCCCUUUCCUCCUCCUCCUCAUCUUCGCCACAGUGGCGGGGAACAUGUUGGUGAUCAUGGCCGUGACGCGCACCCAUGGCCGUGGGCUGCGGACCACCACGGGCGUGCUGCUGACCUCGCUGGCGUGCGCGGACCUGGUGAUGGGCCUGCUGGUGCUCCCGCCGGGCGCCGGGCUGGUGGUGAGCGGCCGCUGGGCACUGGGCGAGCGCGCCUGCCGGCUCUGGACCGGCGUGGACGUGCUCUGCGUGACGGCCAGCAUCGGGACGCUGUGCGGCAUCGCCGUGGACCGUUACGUGGCCAUCACGCGGCCGCUGCGCUACGCCAGUCUCCUGGGCAAGCGCCGCGCGCGCCUGCUGGUCUGCGUGGUCUGGAGUGUGGCGGUGCUCAACGGGAUCCUCGUGGCCUGCGUGCUGGAGCCGCAGAGGUGGACGGCGACGAGGACGGACUGCUGUGAGUUCCGCAUCUCGCCCACGUACGCGCUCGUGUCCUCCAUCGUCUCUUUCUACCUGCCGCUCCUCAUCAUGGCGUUCGUCUACAGCCGCGUCUACACCAUCGCCCGCCACCAGCUCCGCGCCAUCGACCGGAACCGCCAGCGCUUCUUUCGGACUCAGAGCUCCGUCUGCAGCGAGCUGGAGUCCUGCGCCAGCCCGACCUCCGUCAGCCCCGCUACGUCCGCCCCACCUGUGGCCGUCGGGGGAGUGACGCCGGCACGCAGUGCCCAGUCCAGCCGGGGCAGAGGUGCGCUGCGGAGACAGCUGCAGGCACUGCGCACCCUGGGCAUCAUCAUGGGCACAUUCACACUCUGCUGGCUGCCCUUCUUUGUGGCCAAUGUCAUCAGGCCAUUUCGUGUGGCACCCCAAGACAGCAGACACCAACAGGCAGCGUGCACAGACCUCUUCACAGUGCUCAACUGGCUGGGCUACCUCAACUCUGCACUGAACCCCCUGAUCUACUGCCACAGCCCCGAGUACCGGCACGCCUUCAGGAAUCUGCUGCGGAUGCCCACCGUAGCCAGGCCCAGCAUGGACGGCCUCUACAAGGCCCUGCGCUCCAGCUGCCCCUGUGCCCCCCGCCCCGGGCACGACCUGAGGGUGGCACAAGAGGCAGGUGAGGGGGACCUGAACAGUGCUCCUGGCGUGAUGGGCAGCGUUCCUGGCGUGAUGGGCAGCGUUCCUGGUGUGAUGGGCAGCGCUCCUGGCGUGACGUGAACAGCGCUCCUGGCGUGAGGACGGCUGGAGAUGCGGCACUGCAGCAGAGUUGAGACCUGGUGGUGUGAUAUCCAGUAUAUGCACAGUGAGAGGUGAACCCCUUGUAACCAUCCUGUGACCUCCGACCCUGAGCCUGACCUCUGACCCCACAGUCAGCACCCAUGGGCUCACUGGAGUAUACAUCUAACAGAAGACUCAUGCCGCAAAGCCCUCUGGGAAACAAAACACGCAUACCAGAAUGUGACAAACACGUUAAAACUGCUGGAUUCCUGCCUGCUCACGUUUGUGUGUGCACAUCUUAAACCCCUGCGUCAGUUCAUGUACUCACCUCCACAAAUACUGUUGCUAGCUUGACUCAUUCAAAAUGGCUUUACUAGUCUCACUGUUUGUAUGCAGUGCUACCAAAGCACAAAGAACAGGAACAUCAAACAAAUAAAAGCAAGGCUAAUAAAGUUGGGAUUACCUAGUGUUUGGUCGAGCUCUGCUGAAGACUCUUAGAUACAGCUAAGAAUGGCAGAGGCCUGAGGAGGAGGACUGCUCACUGGAGUUAAGUCAUCUGUGAUUGGUCAAUUAUUGUUAACAAGAGAGUCAACCGUUUGCUUUUAAUCUGAGCAUCUAUAGAUCUAUAGGAAGUUCAAGUUCAAGUUUAUUAUCAUGUACUCAUAAAUAAGCAUUUAUCAGCAUUGAAAUUCCUUGUGCAUAGGGAAGGGAAUUCAUUUGUCAAUCCCUUGAAGUUGAAAGUAUAUAGGCCGUUCAAUUUCACAAUAACCAACUGGACAUGACAAUGAUACAAAGAUAAAGUCUUGGAGGAAAAACAUACUCCCUGGUUUGACCAGAGAAGAGACAGAGGAUGAGACACAGGAUGAAUCAGAAUUAGAGACGAAUUCCACUUGUCAAACACAUCUCAAACACAGAGACAACACAUCUCCAACAGCUCAAUGGGAUCCAAGCUCACAGCAGCACACAGAUCUCCAGCAGGACAAAGAUCUCCGGCAGCACACAGAUCUCCACAGAUCUCCAGCAGCAGCAGC